CAGCAUAUGAUGUAUGGUUUUGGAGAUGAUCCCAAUGUAAGUAUAAUUCCUCAGAAAUUUUGAAUACUGCCCUUUUCAUUACUUUCUAUUUUUCGUUUCAGUUUAUGGAUUAUGAUUGAAAUCUCAAUGAAAAUGAGAGCCGAACCGAUCAAAUUAGUCCCUCUAUUAUUAAAUGUAUCAAUUUAAUCCUUGUACUAUUAAAAAAAAUAAAAUAAG
Molecule: long non-coding RNA, 216 nt
Filed under: Gossypium barbadense (sea-island cotton)
Lineage: Eukaryota; Viridiplantae; Streptophyta; Magnoliopsida; Malvales; Malvaceae
Description: long non-coding RNA (GBAR_LNC018198)
Source: RNAcentral